This 63-nucleotide small nucleolar RNA is filed under the name Ovis aries (sheep). Its description in RNAcentral is "SNORD114-32". Lineage: Eukaryota; Metazoa; Chordata; Mammalia; Artiodactyla; Bovidae. The record is from RNAcentral.
UAGAUCAAUUACGACCAGUGUUGAUGUAUGAGUCAUAUAUAUGUGUGCCUGGAAGAUGGUCCA